UUAUUUUCUGAAAACAGGGCGGUAAAUUAAAUUUUAUAUUAUAAUGCAUAAGUAUUUUAAUGGGACGAUAAGACCCUAAAAGCUUUACUUAUUAGAGGUUAUAAUGGUUUUUAUUAAAGUAUAAGUUAGGUGCGGUUUUACUGGGGUAGUAACUCAAUAUGUACUUGUGUGAUGGUUAAAUUGCAAUUAAGCAUUGAAUUGAAGAUCCUUUAUUAGGAUAAAUAGAGUUAGUUACUUUAGGGAUAACAGGGUAAUAGUUUUAGGGAGACCAAAUCUA
Molecule: ribosomal RNA, 277 nt
Filed under: Diporeia hoyi
Lineage: Eukaryota; Metazoa; Arthropoda; Malacostraca; Amphipoda; Haustoriidae
Description: partial 16S ribosomal RNA
Source: RNAcentral